This 468-nucleotide ribosomal RNA is filed under the name uncultured bacterium. Its description in RNAcentral is "partial 16S ribosomal RNA". It matches the Rfam family "Bacterial small subunit ribosomal RNA", at positions 28 to 507 of the family's 1533-position model. The record is from RNAcentral.
GACGAACGCUGGCGGCGUGCUUAACACAUGCAAGUCGAACGGAAAGGCCCUGCUUUUGUGGGGUGCUCGAGUGGCGAACGGGUGAGUAACACGUGAGUAACCUGCCCUUGACUUUGGGAUAACUUCCGGAAACUGGGGCUAAUACCGGAUAGGAGCUCCUGCUGCAUGGUGGGGGUUGGAAAGUUUCGGCGGUUGGGGAUGGACUCGCGGCUUAUCAGCUUGUUGGUGGGGUAGUGGCUUACCAAGGCUUUGACGGGUAGCCGGCCUGAGAGGGUGACCGGCCACAUUGGGACUGAGAUACGGCCCAGACUCCUACGGGAGGCAGCAGUGGGGAAUAUUGCACAAUGGGCGGAAGCCUGAUGCAGCAACGCCGCGUGCGGGAUGACGGCCUUCGGGUUGUAAACCGCUUUCGCCUGUGACGAAGCGUGAGUGACGGUAAUGGGUAAAGAAGCACCGGCUAACUACGUG